Molecule: unclassified non-coding RNA, 1327 nt
Filed under: Hevea brasiliensis (rubber tree)
Lineage: Eukaryota; Viridiplantae; Streptophyta; Magnoliopsida; Malpighiales; Euphorbiaceae
Source: RNAcentral
ACAGCUCACAUGGCCUUCCCUCCUGCAGUCCAAAAUUCCAAAAGUCAAUAAAAUGUAAGCAAAUUACAAACCAUCAGAAAAGAAGUAACAGGCAUGGAAUGAACACAAAAUUACAGUAAGAUAGUACAUGGUGUCCUACAUACAUAUUAUAAAUCUCAAUUCAGUUCCAGUCACUGACAAGGACUCAGCAAUAUUAACCACAAACCUUGACUAGCAAAUUACUUUCUCAACGUGACUAACCAAAAGAUACCCUAAUCAAUAGAUAAAAAAUAAUAGUUUUGCAGAGAAGCAAGAAGAAACACAUCAUAGCUCAAAUGAUCUUGCCUAAAGCAGUUGAAGUGAAGAGCUUCAAGACUGAAAAACAAAGGUAACAGUAGAGUAUGUGAUUGAACUGAAACCACUUGCACAUUCAAUCACCAAUAACAAAAUAAGGACAUAAACAUGAAACUAAUUACUACCUAGGCAAAUCACAUUUUUCAUAUGUCAAGGAAAGCCUCAUAUGAUAGUGGAUUAUUGGUAUAUAGAACUUCAAUAGUAAUUAUUAAACAACAAAAUGAUUAUAACAUAUAGAGACUAAUUCUUAUCCUCCUCAACCAAGCAAAUUAUUCUUGCUAGGCUUAAACAUCUUAGAUCAGUAUGAUCCAAUGAUAGUGUUACUUACAAGUCUUGCUACAAGUUAUCUGUUCCUACAAGUAAUUCAUUUGAAAACUAGAAUUUUGUAAAAUUCCAUUCAAUUUAUUUCUUUUUGGUCGAUUCACAUGUUUGGAAUGAAAAUUUUUAAUUUUUUUAACUUUACAAAAAUCAUUUUAAUAAAAAUAGAAAUCAAUUAUAAUUGUGUGAAAAUUCAAUUGAAUUCAUUUUUUUUAAAUGAUUUAUGCCAAAUAAAGCCCUUUAACCCUUUUGGUAAGAUUCUAGAUCCCAAAAAAUAAACUCUAUAAACCCAAUUAAUAAUCAACAAUCAGUCAGCAUAACAAAUAUUAAAAGUGUUGGGAUACAAAUUUUCGUAAUUUAGGUUUGUUUUUUCCUAAAAACUGAUAAAAUCCUUUCCAAUUUUUACUUCCAUCAAAUUUCAGCGAAAAAUAAAUCGAGGAUGUCAAAAUCAUUAGGCAGCUAGAUCUACGCCACAACUUGUUCCAAUAACUUCAAUCAGAUCAAAUCUAAAACAAAACCCAUUAUUUCUGACCUAUUGGCCUAGAAAAACACGAAAACAUUAAAUUACAGCCAUGUAAGGAUACACAUGAACAUCAGAUCCAAAUAUUAAUUAAGCUAAAACACGCAAAAUUUCAUUUCCCUAGAAUCAGAGUUAUAGAGUAAUCCAAUAAUGAUA